UACGGGGGGGGUAAGCGUUGUUCGGAAUUACUGGGCGUAAAGGGCUCGUAGGCGGCCAACUAAGUCAGACGUGAAAUCCCUCAGCUUAACUGGGGAACUGCGUCCGAUACUGGAAGGCUUGAAUCCGGGAGAGGGAUGCGGAAUUCCAGGUGUAGCGGUGAAAUGCGUAGAUAUCUGGAGGAACACCGGUGGCGAAGGCGGCAUCCUGGACCGGCAUUGACGCUGAGGCGCGAAAGCCAGGGGAGCAAACAGG
Molecule: ribosomal RNA, 253 nt
Filed under: uncultured bacterium
Lineage: Bacteria
Description: partial 16S ribosomal RNA
Rfam family: Bacterial small subunit ribosomal RNA
Source: RNAcentral